This 89-nucleotide transfer RNA is filed under the name Halomonas sp. MCCC 1A17488. Its description in RNAcentral is "tRNA-Ala". The record is from RNAcentral. RNAcentral also lists the same sequence under 2 other names. Lineage: Bacteria; Pseudomonadati; Pseudomonadota; Gammaproteobacteria; Oceanospirillales; Halomonadaceae.
GGAAGAGCUCAGCUGGGAGAGCGCCUGCCUUGCACGUCAGGUGGUCGCGCCGGGGUCGCGCACGACUUCGAUCCCGCUUGGCUCCACCA